CUCAGGAUGAACGCUAGCGGCAGGCCUAAUACAUGCAAGUCGAACGGGUGUAGCAAUACACUAGUGGCGCACGGGUGCGUAACGCGUAACCAACCUGCCCUUGACUGGGGGAUAGCCCGCCGAAAGGCGGAUUAAUACCGCAUAAUACACGGAGCCGGCAUCGGCUUUUUGUUAAAGAUUUAUUGGUCAAGGAUGGGGUUGCGUGACAUUAGCUGGUUGGCGGGGUAACGGCCCACCAAGGCGACGAUGUCUAGGGGAGCUGAGAGGCUGGUCCCCCACACGGGCACUGAGAUACGGGCCCGACUCCUACGGGAGGCAGCAGUAGGGAAUAUUGGGCAAUGGGCGAGAGCCUGACCCAGCCAUGCCGCGUGCAGGAUGAAGGCUUUCUGAGUCGUAAACUGCUUUUGCCAGGGAAGAAUAAGGCCCAUGCGUGGGCCGACGACGGUACCUGGUGAAUAAGCACCGGCUAACUCCGUGCCAGCAGCCGCGGUAAUACGGAGGGUGCAAGCGUUGUCCGGAUUUAUUGGGUUUAAAGGGUGCGUAGGCGGCUGAUUAAGUCCGGGGUGAAAGCCCGUUGCUCAACAACGGAACUGCCCUGGAAACUGGUUGGCUUGAGUACAGACGAGGGCGGCGGAAUGGAUGCUGUAGCGGUGAAAUGCAUAGAUAGCAUCCAGAACCCCGAUUGCGAAGGCAGCUGCCUAGACUGUAACUGACGCUUGAGGCACGAAAGCGUGGGGAGCGAACAGGAUUAGAUACCCUGGUAGUCCACGCCGUAAACGAUGGAUACUCGCUGCCGGCGAUACAAUGUCGGUGGCUUAGCGAAAGCGUUAAGUAUCCCACCUGGGGAGUACGCCCGCAAGGGUGAAACUCAAAAGAAUUGACGGGGGCCCGCACAAGUGGUGGAGCAUGUGGUUUAAUUCGAUGAUACGCGAGGAACCUUACCUAGGCUAGAAUGCGCGUGACCGCCUCGGAGACGAGGCUUUCCUUCGGGACACAAAGCAAGGUGCUGCAUGGCCGUCGUCAGCUCGUGCCGUGAGGUGUUGGGUUAAGUCCCGCAACGAGCGCAACCCCUAUGGUUAGUUGCCAGCACGUAAUGGUGGGGACUCUAGCCAGACUGCCUGCGCAAGCAGUGAGGAAGGCGGGGACGACGUCAGGUCAUCAUGGCCCUUACGCCUAGGGCUACACACGUGCUACAAUGGACGGUACAGCGGGUUGCCAACCAGCGAUGGUGCGCCAAUCCCGAAAAGCCGUUCUCAGUUCGGAUCGGAGUCUGCAACUCGACUCCGUGAAGCUGGAAUCACUAGUAAUCGCGUAUCAGCAAUGACGCGGUGAAUACGUUCCCGGGCCUUGUACACACCGCCCGUCAAGCCAUGAAAGUCUGGUAGACCUGAAGCCGGUGCUCCGCAACGAAGCCGGUUAGGGUAGAACAGGUAAUUAGGGCUAAGUCGUA
RNAcentral lists this ribosomal RNA (1450 nucleotides) under Hymenobacter ruricola. RNAcentral describes it as "16S ribosomal RNA". It matches the Rfam family "Bacterial small subunit ribosomal RNA". The record is from RNAcentral. Lineage: Bacteria; Pseudomonadati; Bacteroidota; Cytophagia; Cytophagales; Hymenobacteraceae.